AGUGAACGCUGGCGGUAGGCCUAACACAUGCAAGUCGAACGGCAGCACAGUAAGAGCUUGCUCUUACGGGUGGCGAGUGGCGGACGGGUGAGGAAUACAUCGGAAUCUACUUUUUCGUGGGGGAUAACGUAGGGAAACUUACGCUAAUACCGCAUACGACCUACGGGUGAAAGCAGGGGAUCUUCGGACCUUGCGCGAUUGAAUGAGCCGAUGUCUGAUUAGCUAGUUGGCGGGGUAAAGGCCCACCAAGGCGACGAUCCGUAGCUGGUCUGAGAGGAUGAUCAGCCACACUGGAACUGAGACACGGUCCAGACUCCUACGGGAGGCAGCAGUGGGGAAUAUUGGACAAUGGGCGCAAGCCUGAUCCAGCCAUACCGCGUGGGUGAAGAAGGCCUUCGGGUUGUAAAGCCCCUUUGUUGGGAAAGAAAAGCAGCAGGUUAAUACCCCGCUGUUCUGACGGUACCCAAAGAAUAAGCACCGGCUAACUUCGUG
This 492-nucleotide ribosomal RNA is filed under the name uncultured bacterium. Its description in RNAcentral is "partial 16S ribosomal RNA". It matches the Rfam family "Bacterial small subunit ribosomal RNA", at positions 29 to 507 of the family's 1533-position model. The record is from RNAcentral.